Solanum tuberosum (potato) is the source of this 762-nucleotide long non-coding RNA. RefSeq lists it as uncharacterized. Lineage: Eukaryota; Viridiplantae; Streptophyta; Magnoliopsida; Solanales; Solanaceae. The transcript has 2 exons. The record is from RefSeq and is a predicted model, not a curated record.
UAAUGACCACUAAAAGAAUUAAAAAUAAUAUAAAAGUAAAGAUUUGUUUAUUUUAUGACAUUCAGUCCCAUCGUCUCUCCAAAACCCUAAGACCUCCCCUUUUUCAUACCAAAGCUUCUAUCUAUGCUAUUCCAAUGACAUUUUUUCACUAGUUCUGUCAAUUAAACUAAUGAUUUGUUUCGCCCAUUACUAAUUUAUGUCGUUGUGUUCUGUUUUAUUCACUUCCUAUUUUCCUAAUCAUAAUACAGUUUAUUUUCUACUUAUACGCAAUACCCGUUUUUUUCUCAAGAGGGAAAGUAGGUGGUUGGGUCUUUCUUUGUGGGUGUUUUUCAGUUAGAUUUGGUACAUGUCACAAGAAACAGAGUUUUCAUAGAUCAGAGGGAAUUGUAUUUUAUUUUUCGAAAAUUUAUGGAAUGAUGGAAAAUGGGUGUUAAAUGAUAGAAUGAGGACAUUAUUAUAUGAGAAGGGAGUGAAACAAAUUCCGCUCUCUAAGCAUCAAUUCGUCCCCCUGUUAGGAUCUACGGUUUUGGAAAUUUUCAUUUACAAGUCGGGAUGCAAGUUUGAAGACUUUGAACAAGAUUUGUCAAAUUGGUCAUCCUUUCGCUUGGAUAGUUCGCUAAAUAUCUCAUUAUAUAUUUAGAGAUGUUCGUUUUUUUGGCUAAUGAGUUGUGUAAAUAGUAUUGUGACCAUAUUUUUGCAAACAAUACUCCAUGUGGGAUGUUAAUUUGUAGUUUUAAGUAAUACGAUUGAUAAUUUUGUUUA